RNAcentral lists this ribosomal RNA (910 nucleotides) under metagenome. RNAcentral's name for it is "bacterial SSU rRNA". It matches the Rfam family "Bacterial small subunit ribosomal RNA", at positions 8 to 924 of the family's 1533-position model. The record is from RNAcentral.
AGAGUUUGAUCCUGGCUCAGGAUGAACGCUAGCGGCAGGCCUAACACAUGCAAGUCGAGGGAGAAGCCCUUUCGGGGGCAGAAACCGGCGCACGGGUGCGUAACGCGUAUGCAACCUACCUUUCACAGGGGGAUAGCCCGAAGAAAUUUGGAUUAAUACCCCAUAAUAUUAUUGGAUGGCAUCAUUUGAUAAUUAAAACUGCGGUGGUGAAAGAUGGGCAUGCGUCCUAUUAGCUAGUUGGAGUGGUAACGGCACCCCAAGGCUACGAUAGGUAGGGGUCCUGAGAGGGAGAUCCCCCACACUGGUACUGAGACAGGGACCAGACUCCUACGGGAGGCAGCAGUGAGGAAUAUUGGUCAAUGGUCGGAAGACUGAACCAGCCAUGCCGCGUGCAGGAAGAAUGCCUUAUGGGUUGUAAACUGCUUUUAUAUGGGAAGAAUAAGGUGUACGUGUACAUUGAUGACGGUACCAUAUGAAUAAGCAUCGGCUAACUCCGUGCCAGCAGCCGCGGUAAUACGGAGGAUGCGAGCGUUAUUCGGAAUCAUUGGGUUUAAAGGGUCUGUAGGCGGGCUAUUAAGUCAGGGGUGAAAGGUUUCAGCUUAACUGAGAAAUUGCCUUUGAUACUGGUAGUCUUGAAUAUCUGUGAAGUUCUUGGAAUGUGUAGUGUAGCGGUGAAAUGCUUAGAUAUUACACAGAACACCGAUUGCGAAGGCAGGGGACUAACAGACAAUUGACGCUGAGAGACGAAAGCGUGGGGAGCGAACAGGAUUAGAUACCCUGGUAGUCCACGCUGUAAACGAUGGAUACUAGCUGUUUGGCGCAAGCUGAGUGGCUAAGCGAAAGUGAUAAGUAUCCCACCUGGGGAGUACGCACGCAAGUGUGAAACUCAAAGGAAUUGACGGGGGCCCGC